This is an RNA transcript of Physcomitrium patens, 1415 nucleotides long. RefSeq lists it as uncharacterized. NCBI's taxonomy places the organism in Eukaryota, Viridiplantae, Streptophyta, Bryopsida, Funariales, Funariaceae. The record is from RefSeq and is a predicted model, not a curated record.
GAUCAUUCUGGAGCCGCUAAUGGGUUGUAGAAACAGUGACGGUGGCGUCCUUCGAAGUUAUACGUGUCGUGUGGGAUUGGUUUCCGUGGGAUUUUAUUAUUUUCUGUUAUUUUUGUAUUUUAAUUUUCCCUCUCCGCUGGUUUGAUCGGUCUUGUGUAGUGGCGUGUGGUCGCUGGAUUAGUUUACUCGGAGGGGUUGUGAAUAUGUUAUAAGAGCAGUGAUGGGGGAUGUGUAGGAUAGUAGCGAAAUACGCUGGUCACGUAGAUGAGGUCUCUGCCGGUACGAGUGUCGGCCACGAGGGUUACUUCCUUCAAGGAGCAAUUGAAGCAAGCUCACAUAGCCUUGAAUAAGAAAGUAAUGAAAAUUCCCCCUGUUUUCACUUUCUCCAAGCCUUUGCCAACUCCACUUCUGACAUGGACAUUUCGAAGAGAAUGGCGUCGCCUUCCGCAAUUUGCCUCAGUAGAAGUGUCUACCGAAUCAAGCGUGGCAUCUACAUCGGUUACCUCCUCUCUACAAUCACCGCCGACAUCUUCGCAUAGAUGGAGUUCCCGAGGCUUGAAAGGAUUGUCGACUGCUCCUAGAGGUGGUGCAGCUAUGGUUGAUGAGCUUUGUUCCAUUGAAGACAUCAAGGCGAGGAAAGGACACGUUAUAGUUCGGAGCUUGAAUCUUAGACACUGGAGCUUAUUCUCUGCAAUUACAGCCAUUGCUGUACGCGGCCUAUAUUGGAUUGACACUUUAUGUCAAAGAACAGGAGAAUAUUUGAGAACAAGAGAACGACUGAAGUCGUGGGUUGAGGUUGUGACAUAUUGGGCUUACGUUGCCUGCUUACUCUGCAGUUGGCUCUCCAUUGCGUCACUUCUACAUUAUCAAGUGCAGCGGUGGGAGUUCCGUAGCAUGAUUCUUGCCGGUCCACAUGAAGUCUCCGAUGGAACAUUCGAUCCCGGCGGCAGCUUCUGGUACUUCUUGUGUCCCAACACAGGGCAAGGGUGUCACUUAUACCUCACGACGACUUAGUGGGUCAGCUUUUUGAUAUCGGCUUGCAUUUAUCAGCUUCUGGCAACGGCAAAGUAACAUGUAAAUCGAGAGCAUUCUCACAGACAAGACGUCUCAGCCCAGCCAUUUCUCACGACCGACAAUUUGCUCACAGCACCAGCAGGACUUCAUUCUAUUCUCACAAGAAGGUGCUUUUCUCACUAGAUGAUCCCAUCGCUAUCAACCAAAACCAGUAUCUUUUGAAAAGCGACCGACAUGUUUAGAGUAGCUACCGACCAUUUCUGAUGUCGGUCGAUGUUUCUCUUUUUUCCCUCUUCUCCCAUGAUAUGCCUCUGUUUCUAAACACUAAGUUGUGGAUCCUGUUCAAAUGAUUAAUGGACUUUCUUACAUUCAAUUGUAUCAAUUAUUUGGGAUUGUUUGAA